RNAcentral lists this microRNA (22 nucleotides) under Dasypus novemcinctus (nine-banded armadillo). Its description in RNAcentral is "dno-miR-95-5p". Its record names the gene dno-miR-95-5p. Lineage: Eukaryota; Metazoa; Chordata; Mammalia; Cingulata; Dasypodidae. The record is from miRBase by way of RNAcentral.
CUCAAUAAAUGCUUGUCGAAUC